RNAcentral lists this ribosomal RNA (253 nucleotides) under uncultured bacterium. Its description in RNAcentral is "partial 16S ribosomal RNA". It matches the Rfam family "Bacterial small subunit ribosomal RNA", at positions 524 to 776 of the family's 1533-position model. The record is from RNAcentral.
UACGUAGGGUGCAAGCGUUGUCCGGAAUUAUUGGGCGUAAAGAGCUCGUAGGCGGUCUGUUGCGUCGGCUGUGAAAACCCGGGGCUCAACCCCGGGCCUGCAGCCGAUACGGGCAGACUAGAGUUCGGCAGGGGAGACUGGAAUUCCUGGUGUAGCGGUGAAAUGCGCAGAUAUCAGGAGGAACACCGGUGGCGAAGGCGCCACUCUGGGCCGGUACUGACGCUGAGGAGCGAAAGCGUGGGGAGCGAACAGG